RNAcentral lists this ribosomal RNA (458 nucleotides) under uncultured bacterium. Its description in RNAcentral is "partial 16S ribosomal RNA". It matches the Rfam family "Bacterial small subunit ribosomal RNA", at positions 338 to 795 of the family's 1533-position model. The record is from RNAcentral.
CCUACGGGAGGCAGCAGUGAGGAAUAUUGGUCAAUGGGCGAGAGCCUGAACCAGCCAAGUCGCGUGAGGGAGUACUGCCCUAUGGGUUGUAAACCUCUUUUGUCGGGGAGCAAAGGCCGGACGUGUCCGGCUGUGAGAGUACCCGAAGAAAAAGCAUCGGCUAACUCCGUGCCAGCAGCCGCGGUAAUACGGAGGAUGCGAGCGUUAUCCGGAUUUAUUGGGUUUAAAGGGUGCGCAGGCGGAUUUUUAAGUCAGCGGUAAAAUCGUGGGGCUCAACCCCAUCCAGCCGUUGAAACUGGGGAUCUAGAGUGUGCGAGAGGUAUGCGGAAUGCGUGGUGUAGCGGUGAAAUGCAUAGAUAUCACGCAGAACCCCGAUUGCGAAGGCAGCAUACCGGUGCACAACUGACGCUCAGGCACGAAAGCGUGGGUAUCGAACAGGAUUAGAUACCCCAGUAGUC